RNAcentral lists this ribosomal RNA (551 nucleotides) under Penicillium sp. FL-2010ak. Its description in RNAcentral is "eukaryotic LSU rRNA". The stretch from base 181 to 333 matches the Rfam family "5.8S ribosomal RNA". The record is from RNAcentral. Lineage: Eukaryota; Fungi; Ascomycota; Eurotiomycetes; Eurotiales; Aspergillaceae.
AUUACCGAGUGAGGGCCCUCUGGGUCCAACCUCCCACCCGUGUUUAUUUUACCUUGUUGCUUCGGCGGGCCCGCCUUAACUGGCCGCCGGGGGGCUCACGCCCCCGGGCCCGCGCCCGCCGAAGACACCCUCGAACUCUGUCUGAAGAUUGAAGUCUGAGUGAAAAUAUAAAUUAUUUAAAACUUUCAACAACGGAUCUCUUGGUUCCGGCAUCGAUGAAGAACGCAGCGAAAUGCGAUACGUAAUGUGAAUUGCAAAUUCAGUGAAUCAUCGAGUCUUUGAACGCACAUUGCGCCCCCUGGUAUUCCGGGGGGCAUGCCUGUCCGAGCGUCAUUGCUGCCCUCAAGCCCGGCUUGUGUGUUGGGCCCCGUCCUCCGAUUUCCGGGGGACGGGCCCGAAAGGCAGCGGCGGCACCGCGUCCGGUCCUCGAGCGUAUGGGGCUUUGUCACCCGCUCUGUAGGCCCGGCCGGCGCUUGCCGAUCAACCCAAAUUUUUAUCCAGGUUGACCUCGGAUCAGGUAGGGAUACCCGCUGAACUUAAGCAUAUCAAUA